This 400-nucleotide ribosomal RNA is filed under the name uncultured bacterium. RNAcentral's name for it is "bacterial SSU rRNA". It matches the Rfam family "Bacterial small subunit ribosomal RNA", at positions 355 to 773 of the family's 1533-position model. The record is from RNAcentral.
UGGGGAAUCUUGCACAAUGGAGGCAACUCUGAUGCAGCGACGCCGCGUGAGCGAUGAAGGUAUUCGUAUCGUAAAGCUCUGUCCUAUGGGAAGAUAAUGACGGUACCAUAGAAGAAAGCCCCGGCUAACUACGUGCCAGCAGCCGCGGUAAUACGUAGGGGGCAAGCGUUGUCCGGAAUUAUUGGGCGUAAAGGGUUCGUAGGCGGUUAUAUAUGUCAGGUGUGAAAUACUGCAGCUCAACUGUAGCAAGCAUCUGAAACUGUAUAACUUGAGUAAUAGAGAGGUGAGUGGAACUCCUAGUGUAGCGGUGAAAUGCGUAGAUAUUAGGAAGAAUACCAGUAGCGAAGGCGACUCACUGGCUAUUUACUGACGCUGAGGAACGAAAGCGUGGGUAGCAAAC